UACGGAGGGUGCGAGCGUUGUCCGGAAUCAUUGGGCGUAAAGGGCGCGUAGGUGGCCCAGUCAGCGUGCGGUGAAAGCUCGGGGCUCAACCCCGAGUCGGCCGUGCGAACUACUGGGCUGGAGCACUGUAGAGGCAGGCGGAAUUCCGGGUGUAGCGGUGGAAUGCGUAGAGAUCCGGAAGAACACCGGUGGCGAAGGCGACCUGCUGGGCAGUUGCUGACACUGAGGCGCGACAGCGUGGGGAGCAAACAGG
This 253-nucleotide ribosomal RNA is filed under the name uncultured bacterium. Its description in RNAcentral is "partial 16S ribosomal RNA". It matches the Rfam family "Bacterial small subunit ribosomal RNA", at positions 524 to 776 of the family's 1533-position model. The record is from RNAcentral.